UACGUAGGGCGCAAGCGUUGUCCGGAAUUAUUGGGCGUAAAGAGCUCGUAGGCGGUCUGUUACGUCCGCUGUGAAAACCCAGGGCUUAACCCUGGGCUUGCAGUGGAUACGGGUAGACUAGAGGCAGGUAGGGGAGAAUGGAAUUCCCGGUGUAGCGGUGAAAUGCGCAGAUAUCGGGAGGAACACCGGUGGCAAAGGCGGUUCUCUGGGCCUGACCUGACGCUGAGGAGCGAAAGCCAGGGGAGCAAACGGG
Molecule: ribosomal RNA, 253 nt
Filed under: uncultured bacterium
Lineage: Bacteria
Description: partial 16S ribosomal RNA
Rfam family: Bacterial small subunit ribosomal RNA
Source: RNAcentral